GGGUAAAAGCUGUUGAGAAGCCUUUUGGUCCUAGACCUGGCCCCCCGUGUAACUGACAAUUAAUCUCCAAUGAGUUCUCACGGAAGGUGAUAAUUCUGACUAAACUACAGAAUAAAGCCGCCAGUCAAAAUCAAGGAACGGUUGUGCUCGUGGUUACUGGAGGGAGCUACAGUGAGAACUCAGUGCUCUUCACGAGCAAGAGAGAAAGAAGAAUCUCAUCCAGCUGUAAAGUCUACAAGAUACCCAAAUCCUGGUAGGCCCUGUCAUCUGCCAGAUAAGAGUUUUGCACCUACCUGCAACCUAAGAAGAACAUCUCCACAUAAGGAAGCAUCGUGAGGCAACAUAAGGUCAAGGCUAACAGGAAAGUCAGACACGCAGGUACAAGUCAAAGCGUUUGAAGGUGGCCCUAGCCUUGUGAACUGCUAAUUAGAGACUUUAAGAUUACAAUUCGUAAGGACUGGAGAUAGUUGUGUAUUUCAUCAAGACGCUGGUAUUAUGCAUUUGCUCUUUCUUUCUUAAUGUAUCGUUAUUAUGUGUAUUACUGGAAAAAUAUUAUUU
Molecule: long non-coding RNA, 558 nt
Filed under: Salmo salar (Atlantic salmon)
Lineage: Eukaryota; Metazoa; Chordata; Actinopteri; Salmoniformes; Salmonidae
Description: lncRNA (ENSSSAG00000087095.1)
Source: RNAcentral